UAAGUUGUGUAGCUGCCUUCUUUCUGCUC
Molecule: non-coding RNA, 29 nt
Filed under: Rattus norvegicus (Norway rat)
Lineage: Eukaryota; Metazoa; Chordata; Mammalia; Rodentia; Muridae
Source: RNAcentral